UACGAAAGUAGGUAUUAGUGAUCCGGUGGUCCCGAAAGUAAGGGUCAUCGCUCAACGGAUAAAAGGUACUCCGGGGAUAACAGGCUAAUUCCUCCCAAGAGUUCAUAUCUACGGAGGAGUUUGGCACCUCGAUGUCGGCUCAUCACAUCCUGGGGCUGAAGUAGGUCACAUGGGUAUGGCUGUUCGCCAUUUCAAGUGGUACGCGAGCUGGGUUCAGAACGUCGUGAGAC
RNAcentral lists this ribosomal RNA (230 nucleotides) under Francisella tularensis subsp. holarctica. RNAcentral's name for it is "partial 23S ribosomal RNA". It matches the Rfam family "Bacterial large subunit ribosomal RNA", at positions 2398 to 2627 of the family's 2925-position model. The record is from RNAcentral. Lineage: Bacteria; Pseudomonadati; Pseudomonadota; Gammaproteobacteria; Thiotrichales; Francisellaceae.